UAUAGUUUUAGUCAUUAUUACAGAAGUCUGCCAGCAUGACAAAGAUGUUAUUCCAACAGCACCUACAGUUGUGUUGCAAGGUAACCCAGACGAUGUGAAAUGGGGUACAUCCAUAAUGCGGCAAAUCUCCUUAAACUGAUAUCUGUAUAGUUUGUCAUUAUUACAGAAGUCUGCCAGCAUGACAAAGAUGUUAUUCCAACAGCACCUACAGUUGGGUUGCAAGGUAACCCAGACGAUGUGAAAUGGGGUACAUCCAUAAUGCGGCAAAUCUCCUUAAACUGAUAUCUGUAUAGUUUUAGUCAUUAUUACAGAAGUCUGCCAGCAUGACAAAGAUGUUAUUCCAACAGCACCUACAGUUGGGUUGCAAGGUAACCCAGACGAUGUGAAAUGGGAAAUGUACAUCCAUAAUGGGGCAAAUCUCCUUAAACUGAUAUUUGUAUAGUUUUAGUCAUUAUUACAGAAGUCUGCCAGCAUGACAAAGAUGUUAUUCCAACAGCACCUACAGUUGUGUUGCAAGGUAACCCAGACGAUGUGAAAUGGGAAAUGCUGUUUCUCAUAAGAUGCAGCAAAAUCACUCUCAAACACCAAACAUCAGGCUGAACUUGGUGGCGAGGGGGACGGAUAUGAUGGCAACUCCCAACGCGACUCCGAAGAUACGGUGCGAGAUAGAGAAAGUAGCGCUGAACUGUGGCUUCUUCAGAGGAAGAUGAGGCGACAGUGGGCGGUUUGCUACAGGAGAUGAUAGGGGGCGGCUCGUGUGCAGGAGCCGAUUUCCAGGAGUAGACAUCUUUGGUGGCAGAGCAGCUAGAGGAGAAGAUGUGUAGCCCCUGGCUUGCUCAGGAUAUGAGCUUGAACUACCAAGAACACCUGAAAGAUGAAUGUGACAAGUUUAUAAGGGCCCCAAAUUUAUAAUAGGUAAGUAUAUGCAAUGAACUGCAAACAUUGGCUGUGUUCAGCCUGCAGCUGCAGAGCAGCACCAACAAAAAGAGAAACAGCAGCAGCCAUCGGAAGUAGCACUUCCUAACACAUCCAUUAUAUUCAAAAAGUACCUAAAAAACAACUCCCUAAAUCGAUUCCCUUUUUUUGGCAAAAUGGGCCCUCAAAACACUAUUGUAAAACAACUCCCUGUAAGCACUUGGUAAAUCUCCCUCCAACUCACAAAUAUAUGUCUCCAUCCUGCGCUGCACAUCCACCCAGGCAGCCCCCACCCCCACCCCUGUUUUCGAGCUUUAGGAAGCUAACUAUUAAAGGAAGAUAAAAAAAAGAGCUCCCUAUUCAUUUUGUUCAUUUGGCAUACUUCAUCGUUUACUAAGUGACUUUUAAGGAGCUCUUGGAGAUGCUCUAACCAGGAAAAAAAAGAAUACUCAGUAAUAAUAAUAUGGUGGACAUCUAAGUGCAUUUCAUCAAAGCGUAUAUAAAGAAACGUGACUGUAGUCUAUUAAGGUAUGUAUAUCAAACUAUGCAUCUAAAAUCAAAAUGAAAAUAACAUAUAUAGCUGAAUUCAUUAAUGCUACGAGGCAUGCUCAAAGUUUUGCCUCCAGGUAAGGAAGAGCAACUUCUGACUACAUAUUGUAAAAUGAUCGGAGAGAUAUGGCCACUAUUGGCAUCCAUUCGUGCUAAUGAUAUGACGGACCAGACCACAAAAUAGUGAUAUACUGCUACCUGUCUCAACAUAAGCCUCUAAGCUUCGAGAAUGAAAUGUUAUAGUGUCAUUUCCAGCCUCACACUACAGUAAUACAGCAUAUCCUGAACAACAUAAUGUAGUUGGAUUGAUUAUAGUGUGCUACAACUAUCUCCUAAUGGGUUUCAGUGUAACAUUGAUUAUUGUCUUGAAACUACAUGAGAGAAAACAUAUAACAAACCAGAGCAGUAGUUCUUACCACGGAGGGCAAAUGGAGUCUCUCUCAGGGGUGCAAACUGAGUGUUGCUGUUAUACUUCUCCAUUCCUGCACAGCCUGCACAAUAACCAAUAAUCAUGGAUUAGCAUCAGCACAGAAUCAUGGUUUUGGUAAAAGAAAAUUUGAAUACAAAUUUUUACCAAGCACAACAUAGAAAGAUUAAAUGAUAUCAACUAAAUUGGAGAAUACCAAAAUCAAUUGUUCCUAAUGAAGUUGGUGGUUUAGAAGAUCCAAGUAAAGUAUUUCAGCAAUUUCUAGAGUCUAGACCCUAGUCAAUCUCAAUGCUAACCAUUGUGACUAUGUACACAGAGCUAAAAAGGAUACAUAUGAUAGAAUAGAGAACAUAAAUUUGAGCAUCGUAGCAUACUGAAAUUUCUAGCCACUUUACUUAUGUUUAGAGAGCCUGACCGAAAAUCCAUAUAGACAUGCAUUCUGUGUAAGCAUGAGCAUGAGUUGUCAAAGUCACACUAUUGUAGCUAACUUACAUUUUCGAGCAAUCAUCAACAUCACUAAUGAAGCAAACUACACAGGUCUAUCCUACUAUGUCCUGUGGACUUAACUGCAUGAAGAGGAGAAACAUGCAAAACUUGAGUUGUGGACUAAUCAUCAACAUUCCUGUGGGGUGUUUUUAGUAUUUAACUCUUUCGUUCCAAGCAAAAGAGUAUUAUUUGCGAAUCAUUCAGUGCCAGAGCAUUGCUAUACAAAACUUUCAUAAUUAACUUGCAUGCUUGCCAAAGCGAUGUAAUGUUCCUUCUAUUGUCAGUAAGGUAGCACUACCUUGCUUCACUGGAUAGCUCAGUUUGUUCGGCAGAAGCUCUUUGUUGUUGUGAGACCUCUAGUGCCAGGUCCUAAUGUUCCUUCCUGGGAUCAAAGUGGAUGAAAACUCUGAUCCACCUAGUGUUGCUCUGGACCUUGCUGUGUUUUUUUUCUAUUGAUAUUUUGUUCAGUUCAAGUGAAUCCCCCCCACCCCCCAUAGUAAGGGCCCGUUUGGCAGAGCUCCCAGAGCUGAUUCUUUGUUGAAUCCAGCAGGAGCUCUGCCAAACAAUUUUUUAGAGAGAAGUGAUUCUUUGAUGAUUCCGUGAAAUGUUUCUCUAAAAUGAACUAGGCGGCUGUCAUGAUUUCAAGAGUUUAUGCUAAAGAAUCAAAGAGAAUCACUUUUCUCAGAGAAUCAGCUUCCAUAGAGAAUCAAAAUCAGAUGGAGCUCUACCAAACAGGCCCUUAUAAUCUGAAACUACUUAUAUGAAGAGUUGAUUACUUGAUUUUGUGUAAACAACUAAUGAUACUGUGGUUUAUCAGUGUUUCAAUCAUUAUCCAAAAGUUCACUGCUAUAAAUGUAGUUAUAAGUCACAUCAUUCAAUUUUAUUUGUAGUAAGAAAAUCACAGGUAACUCUAACGUUGUAUGUUUAUCCUCUUCACGCAUGUGAGUUAACAGGACUUAGUAGGAUAGAUAGGAUAGACAAUUAUAGUUUGUUCCAUUAGUGGUGUUGAUGAUUAGUGGAAAAUGUAAGCUAGCAACAAUAGUUUGACUGUAUGACACCUCAUGCCUAAGGUUUGCCAUCCUAAUUUUGUUUCUUUUAGCUAAGGGACCAUGGGUGCCAGGUGGUGUUCAACAUGCACGCCUAUACACAAACAAUGUGUAUGCAUACAUUGUGGUUGUGGUAACAACUUCAGCAACCUCAGCAAUAACUUUAAGCUGCUUGAUAGCCAAACCAUCCAUCUAACCAAUGAUAAAUUGCAAUUAGAAUUGGACAUAUACUUAUCAAAUUCACGUAUGAAAUGAAAAACAGCUUCAAAACUCAUCUGUGUUCUGUAUAGCAGCAUAGGUUCAGUUAACGUUGGAAAAAAAAAAUCAGAGCAGCUCAAAGUUAGAGCAGGACUUGAGAUUCCCCAUAUUGAAAAGGCAUCAAGACAAUAUACCUUGCACUUAAUUUGCGAUCCAUGCAACUAAGUGCUACUGAAUUAAGAGAGAACCAACCUAAUAAUAAUGGUAUAGAAAACUAACUUAAACGAAUGGUCUGUUCCAAUGCUAAAAAGCAGAACCUAUGCAGCGAGCGCCUGGUAUGUGAGAGGAAUCGAGCAGGGUUUACCUUGC
This 3990-nucleotide long non-coding RNA is filed under the name Sorghum bicolor (sorghum). RNAcentral's name for it is "long non-coding RNA (SBIC_LNC000404)". The record is from RNAcentral. Lineage: Eukaryota; Viridiplantae; Streptophyta; Magnoliopsida; Poales; Poaceae.